GACGAACGCUUGCGGCGUGCUUAACACAUGCAAGUCGAACGGAAAGGCCCUGCUUUUGUGGGGUGCUCGAGUGGCGAACGGGUGAGUAACACGUGAGUAACCUGCCCUUGACUUUGGGAUAACUUCAGGAAACUGGGGCUAAUACCGGAUAGGAGCUCCUGCUGCAUGGUGGGGGUUGGAAAGUUUCGGCGGUUGGGGAUGGACUCGCGGCUUAUCAGCUUGUUGGUGGGGUAGUGGCUUACCAAGGCUUUGACGGGUAGCCGGCCUGAGAGGGUGACCGGCCACAUUGGGACUGAGAUACGGCCCAGACUCCUACGGGAGGCAGCAGUGGGGAAUAUUGCACAAUGGGCGGAAGCCUGAUGCAGCAACGCCGCGUGCGGGAUGACGGCCUUCGGGUUGUAAACCGCUUUCGCCUGUGACGAAGCGUGAGUGACGGUAAUGGGUAAAGAAGCACCGGCUAACUACGUGCCAGCAGCCGCGGUGAUACGUAGGGUGCGAGCGUUGUCCGGAUUUAUUGGGCGUAAAGGGCUCGUAGGUGGUUGAUCGCGUCGGAAGUGUAAUCUUGGGGCUUAACCCUGAGCGUGCUUUCGAUACGGGUUGACUUGAGGAAGGUAGGGGAGAAUGGGAUUCCUGGUGGAGCGGUGGAAUGCGCAGAUAUCAGGAGGAACACCAGUGGCGAAGGCGGUUCUCUGGGCCUUUCCUGACGCUGAGGAGCGAAAGCGUGGGGAGCGAACAGGCUUAGAUACCCUGGUAGUCCACGCUGUAAACGGUGGGUACUAGGUGUGGGGUCCAUUCCACGGGUUCCGUGCCGUAGCUAACGCUUUAAGUACCCCGCCUGGGGAGUACGGCCGCAAGGCUAAAACUCAAAGGAAUUGACGGGGCCCCGCACAAGCGGCGGAGCAUGCGGAUUAAUUCGAUGCAACGCGUAGAACCUUACCUGGGUUUGACAUGGAUCGGGAGUGCUCAGAGAUGGGUGUGCCUCUUUUGGGGUCGGUUCACAGGUGGUGCAUGGCUGUCGUCAGCUCGUGUCGUGAGAUGUUGGGUUAAGUCCCGCAACGAGCGCAACCCUUGUUCACUGUUGCCAGCACGUUAUGGUGGGGACUCAGUGGAGACCGCCGGGGUCAACUCGGAGGAAGGUGGGGAUGACGUCAAGUCAUCAUGCCCCUUAUGUCCAGGGCUUCACGCAUGCUACAAUGGCUGGUACAGAGAGUGGCGAGCCUGUGAGGGUGAGCGAAUCUCGGAAAGCCGGUCUCAGUUCGGAUUGGGGUCUGCAACUCGACCUCAUGAAGUCGGAGUCGCUAGUAAUCGCAGAUCAGCAACGCUGCGGUGAAUACGUUCCCGGGGCU
Molecule: ribosomal RNA, 1346 nt
Filed under: uncultured bacterium
Lineage: Bacteria
Description: partial 16S ribosomal RNA
Rfam family: Bacterial small subunit ribosomal RNA
Source: RNAcentral